Molecule: ribosomal RNA, 254 nt
Filed under: uncultured bacterium
Lineage: Bacteria
Description: partial 16S ribosomal RNA
Rfam family: Bacterial small subunit ribosomal RNA
Source: RNAcentral
GACAGAGGGUGCAAACGUUGCUCGGAAUCACUGGGCGUAAAGGGCGUGUAGGCGGGACAGUAAGUCGGGCGUGAAAUCCCUGGGCUCAACCCAGGAACUGCACUCGAAACUACUAUUCUUGAGUGUCGGAGAGGAAAGCGGAAUUCCUGGUGUAGAGGUGAAAUUCGUAGAUAUCAGGAGGAACACCAGUGGCGAAGGCGGUUCUCUGGGCAUGUCCUGACGCUGAGGCACGAAAGCGUGGGGAGCAAACAGGG